CUCUAGACGAUGUCGUUACACAAAUAUGAAGGCGGGCUGGAACCUCUCGGGGUUACAGCCUUGCUGAAUUAUUCACCCUUGUCUUUUGCGUACUUCUUGUUUCCUUGGUGGGUUCGCCCACCACUAGGACAAACAUAAACCUUUUGUAAUUGCAAUCAGCGUCAGUAACAAAUUAAUAAUUACAACUUUCAACAACGGAUCUCUUGGUUCUGGCAUCGAUGAAGAACGCAGCGAAAUGCGAUAAGUAGUGUGAAUUGCAGAAUUCAGUGAAUCAUCGAAUCUUUGAACGCACAUUGCGCCCUUUGGUAUUCCAAAGGGCAUGCCUGUUCGAGCGUCAUUUGUACCCUCAAGCUUUGCUUGGUGUUGGGCGUCUUGUCUCUAGCUUUGCUGGAGACUCGCCUUAAAGUAAUUGGCAGCCGGCCUACUGGUUUCGGAGCGCAGCACAAGUCGCACUCUCUAUCAGCAAAGGUCUAGCAUCCAUUAAGCCUUUUUUUCAACUUUUGACCUCGGAUCAGGUAGGGAUACCCGCUGAACUUAAGCAUAUCAAUAAGCCGGGAGGAACCUACGGAAACCUUGUUACGACACCUACGGAAA
RNAcentral lists this ribosomal RNA (594 nucleotides) under Alternaria sp. OUCMBI101117. RNAcentral describes it as "eukaryotic LSU rRNA". The stretch from base 184 to 337 matches the Rfam family "5.8S ribosomal RNA". Lineage: Eukaryota; Fungi; Ascomycota; Dothideomycetes; Pleosporales; Pleosporaceae. The record is from RNAcentral.